CGGCCGCAGUACCCUGACUGUGCUAAGGUAGCAUAAUAAAUUGAUUUUUAAUUGAAGUCUAGAAUGAAUGGAGAAACGGAGAUAAUCUGUCUUGUAAAAAAGUUUUUUAAAUUACUUAUAAGGUGAAAAUGCCUUUAAAUAAGAAAAUAGACGAGAAGACCCUAAGAAUUUUAAGAAAUAUAAUUAUUUAUUUUAAGUCUUUUUACUGGGGCGGUGAAGGAUUAAGAUUAACAUCCUUAUGUUUAUUAUCAAGCUUUGCUAAAACUUAAUAAAUUACCUUAGGGAUAACAGCAUAAUUUUUAAAAAGUUUGUGACCUCGAUGUUGGACUAGGAAAUUUUAAGACUAGCUGUCAUAAAAAAAAGUUCUGUUCGAACUUUUUCUCCUAC
RNAcentral lists this ribosomal RNA (387 nucleotides) under Phyllocaulis variegatus. RNAcentral describes it as "partial 16S ribosomal RNA". It matches the Rfam family "Bacterial large subunit ribosomal RNA", at positions 1928 to 2599 of the family's 2925-position model. Lineage: Eukaryota; Metazoa; Mollusca; Gastropoda; Systellommatophora; Veronicellidae. The record is from RNAcentral.